RNAcentral lists this non-coding RNA (29 nucleotides) under Mus musculus (house mouse). The record is from RNAcentral. Lineage: Eukaryota; Metazoa; Chordata; Mammalia; Rodentia; Muridae.
UAGUAUGUUUAGGUAUGACCCUCAUGUGU